CAUGACGGUCAUAGCGGAGGUGCCACAUCCGAUCCCGUCCCGAUCUCGGAAAUUAAGCCCUCCAGCGAUGCCCUAAGUACUGCCUUUGGGUGGGAACAGGGCGACGCCGUCAGCC
Molecule: ribosomal RNA, 115 nt
Filed under: Methanothermococcus okinawensis
Lineage: Archaea; Methanobacteriati; Methanobacteriota; Methanococci; Methanococcales; Methanococcaceae
Source: RNAcentral